This 293-nucleotide unclassified non-coding RNA is filed under the name uncultured fungus. RNAcentral describes it as "partial contains small subunit ribosomal RNA, internal transcribed spacer 1, and 5.8S ribosomal RNA". The stretch from base 1 to 73 matches the Rfam family "Eukaryotic small subunit ribosomal RNA", at positions 1759 to 1831 of the family's 1831-position model. The record is from RNAcentral. Lineage: Eukaryota; Fungi.
UCAAACUUGGUCAUUUAGAGGAAGUAAAAGUCGUAACAAGGUCUCCGUUGGUGAACCAGCGGAGGGAUCAUUAUCGAGUGUUAAAACUCCCAAACCCACUGUGAACAUACCUAUCGUUGCUUCGGCGGGACCGCCCCGGCGCCGCCCCCUCGCGGGGCCUGCCCGGAACCAGGCGCCCGCCGGAGGCCCCGAAACUCUUGUUUUAUUCAGUACUUUCUCUGAGUGUAAACGCAAAAUAAAUCAAAACUUUCAACAACGGAUCUCUUGGCUCUGGCAUCGAUGAAGAACGCAGC